AAAAAAAACACAAAACCAAACCCUAGCUUUCAAUUUAUCCCAAACACAUUACUAUAAAUACCACCGCAACAAUGAAUCCUCCUCUAUGGCCGUUUGUCGCAGCUAUUAGGGUUUAGUGGAAAUCUGCAGCGGCUCUCUCCGCUGUAGCCUCUUAUUGCUUCCACUUUCUUUAGCUAUCACCACCGCUUCCUCCUCCUUUUCCUCUUGUUCAUCCUCCGUUUUCCAGGCCUCCUUCCGCAGUAAUAGUGUUUUGGUCUGUGUAGAGUAUAAUUUCUUCUGCUAUUGCCUAUGAUGGUAUUAAAUAUACUCCGAGACUUAUAUAUCUAUGAAAAAAAUUUUAACCUGAGGCAUUUAUUUAGGCACAUUUAUUUAUUUCUUUUUUUUGCUUAAUUUUUUUUUUUGUUGCAUGUUAUUAUGAAUUUAAAUUCUUUUUUUUAAAUGUAAGCUAUGGCUAAAGUAAAAGGCAGGUGAUGAUAAAAUAGACAGGGACAUCAGUUACUCUCUUUUUAGGGAGGAUGAUGACCAAGUCUAAAAUGGGAAUCUCUCUGAUGCCUUUUUUAUAGCUUAAAAACUGUUCAUUUAUAAAAAAAAAUUUGCAUUUAUAAAUUGUGCAGAUGAUGAUAGAACAGACAGGGACAUCAGCCACUCCAAUUGAAAUUGGAGAAUGUUGACUUGUCUAAAUGGGAAUCUCUCUGAUGCACAAAUCACUUUCUAGAAAUCAAUGUUUGAUUUUAGCAUUUCAUGUGUUUGUGUUUGAAUUUUGCUUUCUUUUAUCGCUUUCAUUGAUGUCAGUGCACUUAAUGGUAUACAAAAUUGACCUACUUUGCCUGUGAUGCAAUAGAAUUUACGUAUUAUCAGAUAAGAGUAUCAUGAUGAUAUCUAUCUUAUUGUCACUACCUCUGAGGCAAAGUAAUGACUAUAAGUUGGAUUUUUACUUAGUGUCACCUCGAGUUAAUUCAGGGUCUCAUUUGAUUGGGUUCGUAUAGAUUAAUUCCUUGUUUUUUGAUUUUUGAGUGUUUGUGAGAGCAGAGUUGUUUACAAGUAUAAGUUAUAUAUUUUUGUGCCAAUGGUGGAUUUAAAUAUACCAUGAGCUAUUGCUAUGAAAACAACCUAAUCUGAGGCUUUUCUAUUCUAAACACCAUUUGUUUUGCAAAAUGCUAUCCCAUCAGGUUCUGUGAGGACAGGAUUGCUAUGCCUCUGAGGCAGUGACAACAAUGUAUCUUUGCUGAAUUUCCUGGUGACUUUUCCAAGGUUAAAGUUUUUCUCUGUGGUCUGCAGAAAUUGAGAUUGAACAGAGCGAAGAUUCUUUCAUGAUGGAGUUGAUUCGAUGGAGAUUUUAUUAGUGAAACUACUGGCAUCUUUGUAAAGGUUGUCUGAAUGCCAAUUGCUAAUUGAAAGCAAUUUCGCCACCCUGUUUGUAUUCUCAGCAGAUUUGUUAGGGCUUGGCCUGUUAACGAAGAGAACAUAAAAAGAUUGAUUGCCCUUUCCCUACCGGACUGGACUCUUUUGAUUGGUGCUGAGCUCGACCCAAACUCUUUCAAGUUCUAGCGUAGCCCAAAUAGUUUCGACGGUGGACGCUCGCUAAAGCAUGACGAAGGCAAAAUUCAGAGAAGGGAUUUGCAGCUCUAAGUUACAAAUAAAUAAAAAAUGAACCAGUGAUACAGUUAAUUUAUUAAAUAAUAUUCUUUGGACCACAACAAUUUAUUUAAAUCGAAGCUAUUAGUUUCUUUA
Populus trichocarpa (black cottonwood) is the source of this 1731-nucleotide long non-coding RNA. RefSeq lists it as uncharacterized. NCBI's taxonomy places the organism in Eukaryota, Viridiplantae, Streptophyta, Magnoliopsida, Malpighiales, Salicaceae. The record is from RefSeq and is a predicted model, not a curated record. The transcript is spliced from 2 exons.